GACAUACAAGUAGUAGGAAAGGAAACUGGACCGACCCUUCGGGGAGCUUGUACAGGUGCUGCAUGGCUGUCGUCAGCUCGUGUCGUGAGAUGUUCGGUUAAGUCCGCUAACGAGCGCAACCCUCGCUGUGUGUUACAAGUGUCACACGGGAACUGCCGGGUCAUAAACCGGAGGAAGGUGGGAUGACGUCAAGUCAGCAUGGCCUUUAUAUCCUGGGCUACACACACGCUACAAUGGGAAGGGACAAUAGGUUGCGAAGCCGCGAGGCGGAGCCAAUCCAGCAAAACUUCCCUCAGUUCAGAUUGCAGGCUGCAACCCGCCUGCAUGAAGUUGGAGUUGCUAGUAAACGCAGGUCAGCCAUACUGCGUUCGAAUACGUUCCCGGGCCUU
RNAcentral lists this ribosomal RNA (389 nucleotides) under uncultured Anaerolineaceae bacterium. Its description in RNAcentral is "bacterial SSU rRNA". It matches the Rfam family "Bacterial small subunit ribosomal RNA", at positions 983 to 1382 of the family's 1533-position model. The record is from RNAcentral. Lineage: Bacteria; Bacillati; Chloroflexota; Anaerolineae; Anaerolineales; Anaerolineaceae.